RNAcentral lists this ribosomal RNA (272 nucleotides) under uncultured bacterium. RNAcentral describes it as "partial 16S ribosomal RNA". It matches the Rfam family "Bacterial small subunit ribosomal RNA", at positions 524 to 794 of the family's 1533-position model. The record is from RNAcentral.
UACAGAGGUCCCCAAGCGUUGUUCGGAUUCACUGGGCGUAAAGGGUGCGUAGGCGGUCGGGUAAGUCUGACGUGAAAUCUUCGAGCCUAACUCGGAAACUGCGUCGGAUACUAUUCGGCUAGAGGAAUGGAGGGGAGACUGGAAUACUUGGUGUAGCAGUGAAAUGCGUAGAUAUCGAGAGGAACACUAGUGGCGAAGGCGAGAUCCUGGACAGUAUCUGACACUGAUGCACGAAGGUCAGGGGAGCAAACGGGAUUAGAUACCCGUGUAGU